This 753-nucleotide long non-coding RNA is filed under the name Homo sapiens (human). Its description in RNAcentral is "HSALNT0359799". Lineage: Eukaryota; Metazoa; Chordata; Mammalia; Primates; Hominidae. The record is from RNAcentral.
CGCGCGUGCGCGUGUGCAUGCGCAUGUGCAGCACAUGCACCCUUUGUGCCUUUCUGCCAUAAGAGGAGGGUAUCAGGAUGGAUAAUGAGGAGCUGUAUAAAGAUGAAGAAGACUGAUGUUCUGGGAAGGUCACUGGGUGGCCUCUAGGAUUCCUGAGUCUGCAGUGCAUGGCUGAAUGUGAGCAGCACCUAGGCUGAGUCUGCCCCUCCCUCUGGUCUCCUUCCAACCCCUCAAGGGACUGAUGGAAAACUGAGUGGGUCCUGCCUCUUCCCCUGCCUGGGGGUACCUCUGCAGCAUCAUUGUCAGUGGUGACCACCAAAAUUAUCCAGUUCCAGCAUGGUCAAGAAGCUGAAUGUUCUCCUGCAGCCCCCAGGGUACCACGCACGGGGCUGGGCACACUGCAGGCUCCCAACAUGUCAGGACCCUGCGUGCAGCCACCGCCGUUUCCCUCUGAGCCACACCUGGGGGCACUUACUCAUCACCCUCAUGCCAGGCCCCAAACUGGAUCUGCCACCUCACACCGCCCAGAGAUUAAGGAAAGUCACUUGAUUCUUGGGCCAGGCUCCCCAUCAGCCAUCAAGGCCCGGCUUGCCUCUUUUCUUUCCUCCUCUGCCUCCUGCCAGAUGAAUUUCCCCUCCUUCCUCCACCUGGACUGAGAAUGGGUAUUUCCUCCUUUGACAGAGAAAGAAAAAGGCAACUGUUCUUCCCCCUUUCCCACGAGGGUUCCCAAUUAAACUAGCUUUUUAAGCUUAA